AUGCAAGUCGAACGGCUAACAGGAAACAGCUUGCUGUUUCGCUGACGAGUGGCGGACGGGUGAGUAAUGUCUGGGAAACUGCCUGAUGGAGGGGGAUAACUACUGGAAACGGUAGCUAAUACCGCAUAACGUCGCAAGACCAAAGAGGGGGACCCUCGGGCCUCUUGCCAUCGGAUGUGCCCAGAUGGGAUUAGCUUGUUGGUGGGGUAACGGCUCACCAAGGCGACGAUCCCUAGCUGGUCUGAGAGGAUGACCAGCCACACUGGAACUGAGACACGGUCCAGACUCCUACGGGAGGCAGCAGUGGGGAAUAUUGCACAAUGGGCGCAAGCCUGAUGCAGCCAUGCCGCGUGUAUGAAGAAGGCCUUCGGGUUGUAAAGUACUUUCAGCGGGGAGGAAGGGAGUAAAGUUAAUACCUUUGCUCAUUGACGUUACCCGCAGAAGAAGCACCGGCUAACUCCGUGCCAGCAGCCGCGGUAAUACGGAGGGUGCAAGCGUUAAUCGGAAUUACUGGGCGUAAAGCGCACGCAGGCGGUUUGUUAAGUCAGAUGUGAAAUCCCCGGGCUCAACCUGGGAACUGCAUCUGAUACUGGCAAGCUUGAGUCUCGUAGAGGGGGGUAGAAUUCCAGGUGUAGCGGUGAAAUGCGUAGAGAUCUGGAGGAAUACCGGUGGCGAAGG
This 678-nucleotide ribosomal RNA is filed under the name uncultured Pseudomonadota bacterium. RNAcentral describes it as "bacterial SSU rRNA". It matches the Rfam family "Bacterial small subunit ribosomal RNA", at positions 55 to 721 of the family's 1533-position model. Lineage: Bacteria; Pseudomonadati; Pseudomonadota. The record is from RNAcentral.